Molecule: ribosomal RNA, 688 nt
Filed under: uncultured Achromobacter sp.
Lineage: Bacteria; Pseudomonadati; Pseudomonadota; Betaproteobacteria; Burkholderiales; Alcaligenaceae
Description: bacterial SSU rRNA
Rfam family: Bacterial small subunit ribosomal RNA
Source: RNAcentral
AACCGGAUUAGAUACCCUGGUAGUCCACGCCCUAAACGAUGUCAACUAGCUGUUGGGGCCUUCGGGCCUUGGUAGCGCAGCUAACGCGUGAAGUUGACCGCCUGGGGAGUACGGUCGCAAGAUUAAAACUCAAAGGAAUUGACGGGGACCCGCACAAGCGGUGGAUGAUGUGGAUUAAUUCGAUGCAACGCGAAAAACCUUACCUACCCUUGACAUGUCUGGAAUGCCGAAGAGAUUUGGCAGUGCUCGCAAGAGAACCGGAACACAGGUGCUGCAUGGCUGUCGUCAGCUCGUGUCGUGAGAUGUUGGGUUAAGUCCCGCAACGAGCGCAACCCUUGUCAUUAGUUGCUACGAAAGGGCACUCUAAUGAGACUGCCGGUGACAAACCGGAGGAAGGUGGGGAUGACGUCAAGUCCUCAUGGCCCUUAUGGGUAGGGCUUCACACGUCAUACAAUGGUCGGGACAGAGGGUCGCCAACCCGCGAGGGGGAGCCAAUCCCAGAAACCCGAUCGUAGUCCGGAUCGCAGUCUGCAACUCGACUGCGUGAAGUCGGAAUCGCUAGUAAUCGCGGAUCAGCAUGUCGCGGUGAAUACGUUCCCGGGUCUUGUACACACCGCCCGUCACACCAUGGGAGUGGGUUUUACCAGAAGUAGUUAGCCUAACCGCAAGGGGGGCGAUUACCACGGUA